This is an RNA transcript of Olea europaea var. sylvestris, 1871 nucleotides long. It is a transcript of the gene named glucan endo-1,3-beta-glucosidase, with no coding region annotated. The transcript is spliced from 4 exons. The record is from RefSeq and is a predicted model, not a curated record. Lineage: Eukaryota; Viridiplantae; Streptophyta; Magnoliopsida; Lamiales; Oleaceae.
UCCAAGAAACUCCCAAAUACAAAGAAAAGUAUAUCCCACAAACACUCUUCUUCUUUAACCAUGUCUACUUGCUUCUGCCUACUUAUCACUCAACAGUUUCCUUCCAAAUACAGCAUUAGCAAUGGAGAAAUUUCUUGCCUUCAUAUUUUCUCUUUUGCUAUCAAUCUACAUCCGAGGUGCAGAUGGAUCAAUCGGGGUAAACUAUGGGACGGUAGCUAACAACCUUCCAUCCCCGGAACAUGUUGCACAUUUCCUACUAGAAUCCACCAUUAUCAACCGUGUGAGGCUUUUUGAUGCCAACCCUGAAAUGUUGAAGGCAUUUGCACACACUGGCAUUGCCAUAACCGUUACUGUGCCUAAUGAUCAAAUCCCACAUUUUACAAAGCUAAAUUACGCACAACAAUGGGUGAAAGCCUACAUUGUGCCACAUUUACCAGCAACCAAUAUAGUCCGAAUACUUGUAGGUAAUGAAGUACUAUCGACUGCCAACAAGUUGCUCAUAGUAAAUCUUGUUCUGGCAAUGCAGACGCUCCAUAUGGUCCUCGUUGGAGAGUCGAUGGAUCGGAGGAUACAAAUUUCUACUCCGCAUUCGCUGGGUAUAUUGGCCAACUCGAGCCCCCCCUCAACUGGGAAGUUUAGAGAAGGUUAUGAUUCUCAUGUGCUCAAGCCAUUGCUUAGCUUCCUUAAGGCCACAAAUUCACCUUUUAUGGUUAACCCCUAUCCAUUUUUCGGGUCAUCGGCUGAUAUUCUUGAUUAUGCACUUUUUAGGCCUAAUGCAGGGGUUCUUGAUGAAAACACAAAACUUACCUAUGCAAACAUGCUAGAUGCACAGUUGGAUGCAGUUUUCUCUGCAAUGAAACUCCUCGGUUUUUCUGACGUUGACAUUGUCAUAGCCGAGACCGGAUGGCCUUCGAAAGGGGACACAGGGCAAGCUGGGGUCGAUUCUGAAAGUGCAGCCGAAUACAACAGAAAACUUGUGGAGCAUGUAACAUCCAGGAUUGGGACACCACUCAUGCCUAACAGAACGUUUGAAACGUACAUUUUCGCGCUCUUUAACGAGGAUCUAAAGCAAGGGCCAACGUGUGAAAGAAAUUUCGGAUUAUUCCAGCCUGAUUUGACACCGGUCUACAACAUAGGGAUCUUAAGGCCAACGGUAGCUGCCGCUGCCAAGAAUCAACAUAGUGCAUGUUUAUUGAUACUUUUGUACAUUUGCUACAUAUUUGGUUAUAGCUAAUUUUCCGUCUUACCCAACUCCAGCGGUGAAACCUAAGCCAGAUCCAAAGGGAAAAACAUGGUGUGUUCCCAAAUCAGGGGCAAAUGAAGAGACAUUGCAGAGAAAUAUUGAUUAUGUGUGUGGAUUGGAUAUGGAAUAUUGCAAACCUAUACAAGAAAGUGGUGCAUGCUUUUAUCCUAAUACGGUUCGAGCUCAUGCUGCCUAUGCCAUGAAUGCAUAUUAUCAAGCCUCGAUGAAAAAAGACUUUGAUUGUGACUUCAGACAAACUGGAGCUAUCACCAAAAAAGAUCCAAGCAUGUUGAUAAAUAUAUGCUAUGGUAAAUGCAAAUACUGACUUAAAGAUGGAGCAAAGAAGUCGUGAAGAAUAGAAGUUUUUUAUGCUAGUUUAACACGAGGAAAUUUUGUUGUUUAGAGAGUUGGCAGGGGAUUUCUCAAAUGGGAUUUGCACUCAGCAGUGAAACAGAAACGAAAAUGAAAAUAUAUUUGGCAGAAAUUAAUGUUUUAUGCAUUGUAUUAUUCUUUAACUAGGAAUCAUUUAAUUGAGGAUGCAGCUUGUUCUUUUCUACUUGUAUUUGCUCCCAUGGUAUCCAAAUAUUUUUGUACUCCUGACGGACUUCUUCGAAUAGUGAAAUUUGAU